This 270-nucleotide ribosomal RNA is filed under the name uncultured Rickettsia sp. RNAcentral describes it as "partial 16S ribosomal RNA". It matches the Rfam family "Bacterial small subunit ribosomal RNA", at positions 822 to 1089 of the family's 1533-position model. Lineage: Bacteria; Pseudomonadati; Pseudomonadota; Alphaproteobacteria; Rickettsiales; Rickettsiaceae. The record is from RNAcentral.
GUCGGGAGAAUCUCUCUCGGUUUCGCAGCUAACGCAUUAAGCACUCCGCCUGGGGAGUACGGUCGCAAGAUUAAAACUCAAAGGAAUUGACGGGGGCUCGCACAAGCGGUGGAGCAUGCGGUUUAAUUCGAUGUUACGCGAAAAACCUUACCAACCCUUGACAUGGUGGUCGCGGAUCGCAGAGAUGCUUUCCUUCAGUUCGGCUGGACCACACACAGGUGUUGCAUGGCUGUCGUCAGCUCGUGUCGUGAGAUGUUGGGUUAAGUCCCG